This is a long non-coding RNA of Oryza sativa Japonica Group (Japanese rice), 3992 nucleotides long. RefSeq lists it as uncharacterized. Lineage: Eukaryota; Viridiplantae; Streptophyta; Magnoliopsida; Poales; Poaceae. The record is from RefSeq and is a predicted model, not a curated record.
CUUACCCUCGGCGGCGGAGGCGGAGGAGCCAUGGCCACGGUACUUCUCCUCCCCUCCUGCCACACCUCCGGCGACGCCGAAGGAAAUCCUCGCCAUGGCCGCCGUCCUCCCCGCCGGAAACGCUUCCGCCGCCGCCUCUCCUCCGCUGGAAGAGCAAGGGUUCUAGUUUGCGCCAUACACCUUCCACUCCUGCGGCGGCAUAAGCACGAAAGGGGAGUGCUUGCUUCGAAUCUCUAAGAAGGAUGCAUUUCUAGAUGGAUGAGCGUCACUCAAUGAUUUGGAUGAGAGUGCUGCAGUUGAGAAUUUUGAAGAUGGAUCAUUUAAACAGUGCAAGGAGUGGUACACUGGUACUAAACUGACUUAGUGAGCUCAAUUGAUAUAUGAAUGAUUCUGCAGUUGGACAAAAUUACAUGCUACUAAAACAAUAAGUGAUGCACUGAUGUGCUGUCCUGUUAGUUGAAUUCUUAUGAUGGAUGUUGAAAUCACGGAUUCUAUAAUUCCUACCAGUGAGAUGCUUUCUUGACUUUGUCUCAGCAAAGAAUGCCACAAAAACAAGAUAUCGGAAAUUAUCAAGAAAGCCACAAAAACAAGAUAUCGGAAAUUAUCAAGUAUGCUAUUAUAAGGGUUGGAUUACACCAAGUUAGUUUUUUUGGAUGUUGCAACUAAUUUCUUACUGUGAAAUUAUCUGCUUGAUGCAGUUCACAGUGUGGGCAUCUAGACAGCUAAGAGUGGUCCUGUUCUUUUUGACUGUAUCAGCAGUAAGCACAAUUGGAAUAUGAAGCCUUCUAGGAAGACGGAGAAAAAACCAACUUGCUACUAAAAAUUUAAAAUGAAUGACAUGUUGAUUUGCCAGUUGAGUUUCUAUCGUGAUAAUAAACCAAAUAAGGAUUCCUAUCAUUCCAACUGGGCAACUGGCAAUAGUCUCUAAACAGCUUUGUAUUAAAUCACAAUGCUUAGGAAAAAAAAGUAUCUAUCUGUUCCAGUAGGCACACAUGCUGGUUUUUUUAAUGGUUUUCUUCUUUAUUUUUUUAAAAGAUCAAUUAAGCACUCUUUGUACCAAGAAAAACAUAAGUAGACUUUUCUAUUUCUAAACCAUCAUCAUGUAGAAUCACACAAUGGAGUAAAACGGGAGACAUGGAUUUAAUGUGGAAAGUCAUUAUGAAAAAAGACAUGCACACAAAGUGAUUAGUCCGGAGCAGAGGAUACGGAGAACUCGGACCGUGAUUAAUCCGGAGCAAAGGAUACGGGUCCCCAAGUGACAAGGGUGGCUAUGGGGGAUCUCUUCCUCCACGGCGGGCGUCUCAUCCUCGCGGAAGUGAGGGCCCCUCGAGGCAACCUCACCAGUUCACCGGUGAGGGCUCGUCUCGGGAUCCUCAAACACCGCCUCACUACCCCGCCGUUCCCAUUGGUUCUCUUUGGAUUCACACCCCAGAGCGGGAUCAGUUGGUGAUUCGGCAGCCCCACAACUGGCGCCUCAAAUCUGAGGUGGUUGCGCCCCAGCGGGAGGAGGAUCCUCGCAGCAACCGACGCACCGCCACCGAUGCUCGUUUUUGGACUCUCUUUCAACAAGAUUUCUAUGAGACUGUGAUCAAGCACAAGUCUCAUCCCACGGUGGCGAUGCAGUGGAUCAACUGGGAGGAGUUGCAAUCUUUUGAUGACCCAGAUCUCAACUCCGUCAUUGCAGUUUGUGAGGAGAUGGGGGUUCGCGCGUUCAUGACACUUCAGCAGCCGUGGUGUAAUGAGAUUAUCGCUCAGUUUUAUGCCACGAUGUACUUUGACCGUACUCGUGACGUGCAUUGGAUGACUCAGGGCACCUGGUACUCCAUUUCCGAUGAGAGGCUUGCUAAGUUGGGGGCUUUGAUUUGAACUGGAUGCAACACUUCGCCACCUUGCACGAUCAUCUGAUCCCCCUCAACACCGAGCUUCGUCCUUUGUAUCUUCCUGGUGGUGUCUUGGGCAAGAUAGAGGGCAUCAAGCCCUUUCACUCUUUUCUGAACCGGAUGUUGUGCCGGACUCCUGUGCCAAAGGAUGGUGAUGCUAGCAACAUCAACCAUGUCUCCCGGAAUGUCCUGCUCAGGUUCAAUCCUCCCUCCCACCCCUUCAAUGUCUUCAAUUUGUAUGGGAGGAAAUCUAGUUGGCAUCUUUUCAGUACAAGAAGGGCUUAAUCUAUGCUCCUCAUCUUAUGAGGAUGAUCGAGACCGUGACUCAGCUGCAGUUUGAGCAUGAGGCACCUCACCCUCAGCUUCACCUGCGCCUACUCAAGGUUGACCGCCCCUCUAGGGUGGAUACUUCCACUGCAAAGCUGGGGACAUUCCCUCCACUUCAACUCAGCCACAUGCUCCUGUGGCUCACCGCGAGCCUUCUUCCUUGUUCCACAUCUUGCGAAGUCUUUUUUGGCCUUUGCUCUGCAGAGGCUAAGAAGAAUUGCAAGGCGCGAAAUGAGGUUAAGAAGACGGCCCGGCGCGUCAAGGACAUGCAAACUUAGUUGAACUUGCAUCUACAGGUGGAGGCGCCUCCUUCGCCUCUAGGUUUUGAAGCAGAGCCUGACGAGCCUGAGGAGGAGAUUGAGGACCCCUUCGCUGGCUAUCCUCCGGACAACGACUUCUUUGUGUUUAUAGUGCACACUUCUAGGGGGAGUUCUCACUAAAACUUUGCAUCCACAUCAAUAAUUUAGCUCACUAAAAUAGUGAAGAUGGACUAAAGUUUUACCCUGCCAGGUGGACUCGAGUGGCCCAGCUUAGCUUUACCCUGCCAUCGCCUCAUCCUGGAGCACGUGGCUGGCUAUCCGUCGUUGUGCGCCAUGCGCCUCCUGAUCCCGCUGACUGAUGACGCGCUAGUUUGUGGGGAUCGAUUAUUAGCAUCUUUUUGACAUUCAUUCAUUGAUUCAUCAUGUACAUUUGUGUGUUGUUGUGUGCGUCUGUGAUUACUGAUUAGUACUGUGCUUACUCCUGAUUGGCUAGCUAGCAGUACCAGAGAUUGUGUUUGUUUUGGGGCCCGGAUUUGACGACGGCAUUCCUUCAUUCUUUUAGUCUGUCUGAUAGUUGGAUUGACACAUGUUCUUUCUCCUGUGCUUAAUUUUACCCCCUUUUUUUUGCAUAGAUAGAUGUUCAUUCUUUUACACAUGUGCUUAAAUAUGGUUUUUUCUGUAUGCAUGUGUGUGUGUGCUGCACUGCUCCCGUGCGUAAAUUAUACUUGUCUCUCAUCAGUGAUGGAAGUGCAUGCGUGUGUGCGGAGGGAAAAAAGAGAGGCUACAUUGAUGUACAUUGUUUCCUCUGCUUACAUUGUUCUGGACAAGUCGCAUGCGCUAUCUCGUCAGUGACACAUCCACGUGGCCUGCGAUGUGCAAGACAUAUUGAUUGUUCGAGGGAUUUAAACGGAAAAAAAUAAAACAUUCAACAGUUCUCCUCCCCCCAAAACUUAUACUUAGAUUCCAAAUCUUAUAAUAGAGAAACAACAAAAGGAAAACACUAAAUACCCAGCUAGACCUGUCAUGCCAAACAACACACUGAGUCGAUGUAGCCUGAACUCCCACACAUCACAUUCAUAUUCCAUCUAUCUCUUACCGACCCCUUCGCCACGCUGCCCCUUCAUUUGGACGGAUCCAUUCGAUCCAGAUCCGACAGGCUCUAUAAACGCAAUAAGGGUGCUCCAUUAUGGCCAAUUUACAAAAGCUAGAUCGCCGACACAAGAGGAUGUUAAUCUAGAGCGAGCUUACGCCAGUUGCUUGAGGGGUGAUGACACGGGGUUGCCUAGACAACGUCUCCAAGAAGAGAAACGACGGAAGAGCACCACCGUCGUAUGUGAAGGUCUCAAAGAGAGCCGAGAUAAGGUUUUGACCUGGCCAACCCGCGAGAGGGGAUGAGACGGCAAGACAACGUCCACAGGAGGGAGAGUGACGCUCGAAACGCUACCGUUGCCGGCCCGACUAAGACCGGGCUAGGUUUUCACCCACCGUUUGCCGCCUUUCUAUCUACAACUAACACACCAAAGCU